Molecule: ribosomal RNA, 491 nt
Filed under: uncultured bacterium
Lineage: Bacteria
Description: bacterial SSU rRNA
Rfam family: Bacterial small subunit ribosomal RNA
Source: RNAcentral
GACGAACGCUGGCGGCGUGCCUGACACAUGCAAGUCGGACGGUUCUUGCACCUUCAAGCUUGCUUGCUGGUGCAAGGAUAGUGGCGGACGGGUGAGUAACGCGUGAACAUCUACCCAUUGGAGGGGGACAACCCGUCGAAAGGCGGGCUAAUACCGCGUAAGCCGCGAGGUGAGAGGCUGCCUAUUGGGUGGCCGCCGAUGGAUGGGUUCGCGUCCUAUCAGCUGGUUGGUGGGGUAACGGCCUACCAAGGCGAAGACGGGUAGCCGGUCUGAGAGGAUGGCCGGCCACACUGGAACUGAGACACGGUCCAGACUCCUACGGGAGGCAGCAGUGGGGAAUAUUGGACAAUGGGCGAAAGCCUGAUCCAGCAAUGCCGCGUGAGUGAUGAAGGCCUUAGGGUUGUAAAGCUCUUUUACCAGGGAUGAUAAUGACAGUACCUGGAGAAUAAGCUCCGGCUAACUCCGUGCCAGCAGCCGCGGUAAAACGUCUA